Molecule: ribosomal RNA, 301 nt
Filed under: uncultured bacterium
Lineage: Bacteria
Description: partial 16S ribosomal RNA
Rfam family: Bacterial small subunit ribosomal RNA
Source: RNAcentral
CAGUAGCCACGGUAAUACGGAGGGGGCUAGCGUUGUUCGGAAUUACUGGGCGUAAAGCGCACGUAGGCGGCUUGGUAAGUUAGAGGUGAAAGCCUGGAGCUCAACUCCAGAAUUGCCUUUAAGACUGCCGAGCUAGCAGGUGAGAGAGGUAAGUGGAAUUCCGAGUGUAGAGGUGAAAUUCGUAGAUAUUCGGAAGAACACCAGUGGCGAAGGCGGCUUACUGGCUCAUACUGGACGCUGAGGUGCGAAAGCGUGGGGAGCAAACAGGAUUAGAUACCCCGGUAGUCCCUGUCUCUUAUAC